AUAGCUUGCUGUGGCGUGAUGGAAUUAACGCUUUGAAAGGAAUUCUUGUUAGUUCUUGAUAUGUAUUGACCCAACUAUGUGUUAUGUGCCAUAUCUGUGACUGGAUCUCCCAUACCAUUUGCUAAUCAGUUCAAUCUGCUUUUCAAUUUAGCUUCUGAUGCGAAUGGAGCCUUGGCAGGUUUGCAAGGUCUAUUGAGCGGUCUUGAUUUGAACAGCUUACUGAGCGGUGUUACUGGUUUAGUUUAAAGAAUUGUGUAUUACGGACUGAACAUACCUACGCUCCUGGACCAGAUUGACAAUGACUUCUUGCUCCUGCGCACUCCACAUUGCCACUCCAAAGCCGAUCAAGUGAAACCAGAGAAUCACGAAUCAUACUAGUACACUUUAGAUAAUUUCUGUAACUGAUUUUGUUGUCUUUGUAAUAGAGGGCAGAGGGCACUAAAAACUGCCCCACUACCCCCCUGGAGGAUGGCAAUCGCUUUGCAAAAAUAAAAGAA
Molecule: non-coding RNA, 497 nt
Organism: Podarcis muralis (Common wall lizard)
Lineage: Eukaryota; Metazoa; Chordata; Lepidosauria; Squamata; Lacertidae
Source: RefSeq, a predicted model, not a curated record